This is a long non-coding RNA of Alligator sinensis (Chinese alligator), 599 nucleotides long. RefSeq lists it as uncharacterized. The transcript is spliced from 3 exons. The record is from RefSeq and is a predicted model, not a curated record. Lineage: Eukaryota; Metazoa; Chordata; Crocodylia; Alligatoridae.
AGGCUGAAUAGGACCCAAUGGGGCCUUAGCAGCCAAGCUCUUAGAAGCAGCUGUAAGUAGGCACUGUUGCCUGCAGGGUGAAGUAGCAUGGGAGUGAGAGGAAGAUGAGUUACCAAGAGGAAAAGUUGAAUUUGCCGGAGGGUUUGAAUAAAGGGCAUCUUUCCUGAGACGGUUUCAAACACUGAAUCACCAUGGAAGCAUUUGAAAGCCAGAAGCAAUAUUUUGCCCAAUCUCUUUCCUCCCUCAGAACAACUCCCCAGGAGGUGUCAGAGAUGGAGUUACUCUAAAUUUACCCUCGGGUAACUGAGAGCAGAACUUGGCUCCCUGUCUGUCAUCACUGCCAAGAGUCCGGAGGCAGCCAGUAUUGUCCUGAGGGUUUGGUAAAAUCAUCUGCUGAACAAGACCCCACCUUAGCUUCUCCAACACAAGAACCAAUAUUUGGGCCUUUUUUAAUCUUUUUGUACAGAUUAAAUACUCCAGUGUAGCAUUGUGUCCAAGUACACAUUUUAAUAGAUGCCUAACUCAGAAAGAAAUUUACAGAUAAAACCUAGGAUGUUUGAAAUGGCCAAUCCUUUUCAACCAUAGCUGUUUUUAAUAAA